This 81-nucleotide transfer RNA is filed under the name Helianthus annuus (common sunflower). RNAcentral describes it as "tRNA-Arg". The stretch from base 9 to 80 matches the Rfam family "tRNA". From Rfam's summary of the family: Transfer RNA (tRNA) molecules are approximately 80 nucleotides in length. Their secondary structure includes four short double-helical elements and three loops (D, anti-codon, and T loops). Lineage: Eukaryota; Viridiplantae; Streptophyta; Magnoliopsida; Asterales; Asteraceae. The record is from RNAcentral.
CCGAACCAGCGUCCAUUGUCUAAUGGAUAGGACAGAGGUCUUCUAAACCUUUAGUAUAGGUUCAAAUCCUAUUGGACACGC